GUCGAGCGGUAACAUUUCUAGCUUGCUAGAAGAUGACGAGCGGCGGACGGGUGAGUAAUACUUAGGAAUCUACCUAGUAGUGGGGGAUAGCACGGGGAAACUCGUAUUAAUACCGCAUACGACCUACGGGAGAAAGGGGGCAGUUUACUGCUCUCGCUAUUAGAUGAGCCUAAGUCGGAUUAGCUAGAUGGUGGGGUAAAGGCCUACCAUGGCGACGAUCUGUAGCUGGUCUGAGAGGAUGAUCAGCCACACCGGGACUGAGACACGGCCCGGACUCCUACGGGAGGCAGCAGUGGGGAAUAUUGGACAAUGGGGGAAACCCUGAUCCAGCCAUGCCGCGUGUGUGAAGAAGGCCUUUUGGUUGUAAAGCACUUUAAGCAGUGAAGAAGACUCUUCGGUUAAUACCCGGAGACGAUGACAUUAGCUGCAGAAUAAGCACCGGCUAACUCUGUGCCAGCAGCCGCGGUAAUACAGAGGGUGCAAGCGUUAAUCGGAAUUACUGGGCGUAAAGGGAGCGUAGGUGGCUCGAUAAGUCAGAUGUGAAAUCCCCGGGCUCAACCUGGGAACUGCAUCUGAUACUGUUGAGCUAGAGUAUGUGAGAGGAAGGUAGAAUUCCAGGUGUAGCGGUGAAAUGCGUAGAGAUCUGGAGGAAUACCGAUGGCGAAGGCAGCCUUCUGGCAUAAUACUGACACUGA
This 695-nucleotide ribosomal RNA is filed under the name Psychrobacter sp. RNAcentral's name for it is "bacterial SSU rRNA". It matches the Rfam family "Bacterial small subunit ribosomal RNA", at positions 61 to 749 of the family's 1533-position model. The record is from RNAcentral. Lineage: Bacteria; Pseudomonadati; Pseudomonadota; Gammaproteobacteria; Moraxellales; Moraxellaceae.